RNAcentral lists this transfer RNA (86 nucleotides) under Hyphomicrobiales bacterium. RNAcentral describes it as "Rhizobiales bacterium tRNA-Thr". The record is from RNAcentral. Lineage: Bacteria; Pseudomonadati; Pseudomonadota; Alphaproteobacteria; Hyphomicrobiales.
GCCGGCACUAUCGAAAUCGGCCCGUCACCGGCCCAAGCGGCUUUGUAAACCGUUGGUCGGGGGUUCAAAUCCCUCAGCCGGCACCA